AUGAGAAGGGAUAGCUACCAUCUUUUGAGCAGCAUGAAGGCAAUUGCUUCCUGGCUGCACCUACACCACAGUUUUGUCCAGGCUCUCCAUCAUCCAGACGUAAUGGAAGACCCAGAACCCGUGGCAGAUCCAGCUGACCAGCACCAUGUCAGACACUUCCCAGGCCCCACUUUCUGUCUGCCCUCCUUCCAUGUUUCAGGUUCCAGCUGCUCUGCAGGAAGCAGCUCUGUAUGGCUUCAGCUGGCCUCAGGCAGGAGCAGCCAAGCAGUGCUUUGUCUCUGUGUGCCCUCUGCCUGGGGUUCUCAGUCGGCUGAGGCAGGUUGCACAGAUUUAGUCCUCUCAGUGCCAGGAGGAUGGAGCAUUGCUUCCUGGGAGGUAAACUUCCAUCUGGUAGGACACAGGGUGGCCGGCUGGAGGCCCACUGUGUCACCUUAGCUCUUCCUUUUUUCAGUCUUGUGUCCUGGAUUGCACUCCCUGUGAGACGGGACCCGCUGGCUCUGCUCAGGCUCUGCCUUCUGGGUCUUCCAAACGAAAACAAGUGCACACCACUGGUGGAUAUUCCAUCUCCCUGCUUUCAUCUCCUCGUGAGGGUGCUUGGAAGAAUAAGCACAGAUCGUGUAGGGGACAGCAUUUGUGGAGGGCAGCGUCGCUGCAUUAUCCUGUUCCCCAUCAGGGCUCAACUUCAGGUUCCAUACUUUUUGGGUUUCCUACCAUCUAUUAUGUGCCAUGCCCUACAGCAAAGCAACACUAUCUGCUAGCCUUGACUCCUUGCAGUUGUUUGGUAUUUUUUCUUCAUUGUCGUACUUGGCUGGUCCUCCUUGCAACUAAGUCAAUAUGCACUUUGUGCAUCUCACUAACUCUUACUGGUGUGCCCUUAUUCGUUUUGUGCACACUUGGGACAUGUCUCUGUCAGUUGAAGCUUAUCAUCUCUGAGAAGUCUUCUUAAUUACCAGUGCUCCAUUACAAUACCCAAGUGAUGAGAUCUCACUUUAUUUUCAAACCAUUUAUGGGCUGAAGUGGGAUUUGGUAUAUGAGCAAGUGACCAAAGUAAUUCAAAAGGUAUACCUUUAUAAUUAUAUCGGAACUGAAAUGUUUGCUAUAAGAUAGAAUUUGGUAUUUGUCACAUUUGAUGCAUGUGUCACUUGGGUUUUUUUGGUUGCCAUCUUAAGCAUAGGCAGAAUUUAUUGGAAAGUUAUUGAGACUCAGAAUCAACAAGAAGCUAGAUAUCUGACUUGGAAAAUGGGUGGGAAGCAAGGGAGUGUUCUAGGCAAUGGAAACUGUACCAUUCAUUUGCUCAAUCAAUAAACAUUUAGUGAGCAUUUACUAUAUGCCAGGAAUUUUUACUAGUUUCCUGUUGGUGGUCAUUUGGAUUUCAAUCUGUUGCUGUUAUAAACAAUAUAAUAACAAAAUAAGAAAUUUAAAAAUUCAUUUUCUAAAUUGUAUUUCUUUAAUGAAAUCUUCUUGACUAAGCUUACUGCAAUUAAGCUCUUCAUUUGGGAGGUAUAUAUUUUCAGUACAGGUUUUUUGAACAGUAUAUAAUCCUGCACUGUACAAUGCCCACCUUCUUCCUUUGAAUGAUGUAUUGACUUUUGAAAAUGAGUCAUUAAAGCAAGAUAUUUAUGAUUCGUGGAAAUGUCUCAAGGUUCACUUU
Long non-coding RNA from Ictidomys tridecemlineatus (thirteen-lined ground squirrel), 1651 nucleotides. Lineage: Eukaryota; Metazoa; Chordata; Mammalia; Rodentia; Sciuridae. The record is from Ensembl.